GUUGAGUGCUUGCUUGCCAUUGAAUAGCAGAGUAAUGUCAGGCAGAGAGCAUGGGGGUACAUGAGCACAGCGAGCCGAGCUGAGCGCCUCGUCGUACCAAAGCACAGUGGCUAAUGUUCAACGAUGCAGUCGUGUCAAAACAAAUCAGAUCACAAGCAGCGCUGGCUGGCUUUGCUCAAUUUGUAGGGUAGUUUUUAUCAUCCCUGCCUUGCGAUUAAUGCUUCUGAUAAGCACAGGGGGAGUUCCUCUGUAUAGCUAAAAGUGUGCUUUAAUAGCUGCUUGAAUGUUAAUUGCCUUGCAGGAACAGUUUUGUUGUUUAGCCCUUCGCAAGCCUUCCAGAGUCAGUCGUGAUACUGCUACAAGAUCCCAUAACAGUUUCACUGCCCUGUCACAUGCUUUCAAAGAAGGUGGAAGUUCCUGCCUGUUAGUCACAGGUGUUUCACUCUGCUGAGAGAUGCAUCCAGAGGUGGAUGAGACCUCUGCUGUGCCAAGAGUGCCAGAAUCAGUGGGUCACACUCUGCUCUGAGACUGUAGAGCUAGUCCUGCCAAAGCAUGCAAUGCUAGUUUGUCUGAAUAUUGAUGAUGUGGUGGGAGAAGCUGUUCUGCUUUCACUCCUCCUCUUCUAGACCUAUUGAUCUUUUUGUCUUGAUUCUGAAGUUUAUAGACCCCUGGCCUGGCCAUUGGAGAAAAUUAUCUAGCAAGCAAGCUGAUAUUCAGUGUGUACUUCCAAUACUGCGAAGGAGCGGAGGCAGCAUAAAGGGCAAAUAAAAGUAACCUCAGCAGUGACUCCAAAUCCUGGGUCUUACAGCAUAUUUCUUAGAGCUGUACAACAGGGACUUGAAGCAGCAUGCAGUCACAAUCAGACAGUUGGAACAGGUAAAUGCUGCCUCUGCUGAGCCUGAGCUUGGUGCCUGUGAACCUCAACAGGAGCCUCUUCUGCUUCUAUUCACCCUGGUAACGGCACAGAAGGGAAGUUUGGGAAUGUUGCUGGAUUGCUUCUUGUGAGUAGGCUUACAGGUCCCACAUCAACUUUCAAUCUGCAGCAAAUGAAGUGACUUAGGGGUUGUGCCACCAAGUUAUUUUGUGAUAAAGCAACUUGGAUUUGUGCACUGGAGUCUAGUUGUGUACAUUGCUGUGUAACCUUUGCUUUUGUCACUUGUAGAGGCUUGUGUUG
RNAcentral lists this long non-coding RNA (1174 nucleotides) under Phasianus colchicus (ring-necked pheasant). RNAcentral's name for it is "lncRNA (ENSPCLG00000016568.1)". Lineage: Eukaryota; Metazoa; Chordata; Aves; Galliformes; Phasianidae. The record is from RNAcentral.